CAUAGCGAGACCCUGUCUCAAAAAGACAAAAAAAAAAAAAAAAAAAAAAAAAAGAAGAAGUUCUGUUAUAUUGUGGGAUGUAUAAUGUACCUUGCUUAUGUUCUUGUUCUUUUUUUCCCCUCUCCCUCUGGCUGGUGGAUUUUCUUUUCUGGGCACGUAGCUGGGGAGGUUUCUAGUGUGCACUGACUGGGAGAGACUGGGCUGUCGGUGAAAGGAUCUAAUCAGGACCCUGUGUCAUAGAGAAGCUAAUGAAGAACUGAUGUUUUCUCCACUUCAGGCAACUCUGUGUGCACUAAUCCAAGAGAAGGAAUUUUGUUCAAUGGUGUCAACUACUGAGCUUCAGAAGACAACUGGGACUAUGAUUCACAAACUGGCGGCAAGAGCUCUAAUCCGAGAUUUUGAAGACGGCAUUCUUCAUGAAGAUGAAGCCAACCAUGAGAUGAAGAAACAAAUGAUGAAAUCUCUGAUUAUUAAGCUCAGUAAAGAAAACUCUCUUAUAACACAAUUUACAAGCUUUGUGGCAGUUGAGAAAAGGGAUGGCAGUGAGUCACCUUUCUCUAAUGCUCCAAAUGUUUUGGAAUUGGUUGAUGACGAAGAUGUGGACUUUCUGCCGUACUUGAAGUGGCAGGAGCAGCAAGAGCCGGCCGACACGAUACAGCCUCUUUCAGCACCCCCUGAAUGGAGUGAAGAGCCGCCAAGUAAAGGUCUGACUACAAGAAGACUUAAAAGUUCGGGUAGAAGGAGACUCAGGUUAUCUAUGCUGGAAGUUUCUGAAGAUUUUGAGGAGAUGGGUUUGGGUCCUCAAGGGGUGGCACAACCAGUCACACUGGAGCCUCAAAGCGGAGAUGUAGAAAACCUGCUGAGUUUGACGCAGAUGGACUCAUCAGAACAAGAAGAAUUUAACAUACAGUCAAAGACAGCCAGGUCAAAACAAAAGUCUGCUUUUACCUCUUUCUUUGCUCCUCCUCCACCGCCUACCCCAGGUGCUCCUCCUCCACCGCCUACCCCAGGUGCUCCUCCUCCACCGCCUACUCCAGGUGCCAGCUGCUCUCUUUCCUUCCCUCCUCCCAAUGUCCUUCCUCAGAGUUUUGGUUCUCCUGAGCCUCCCAGACAGUUGGGCCUACCAAAGAGCGGCCAGGGCCUUGAGCUUGACACUGGUGCCAUAUUUUCCCUUCCGAAGCCUCCUGUCUUCCACAGUGGUCGUACUUCCCUGACUGGCUCACUGGGCUCGACGCAGUUUGAUCCAUGCAAAUUUUAUUCACACUCUGAAAACAACCUUUUUCCUGUCCCGAAUUCUGCGCUGGGCUUUUCCACUCCUCCUACUCCUCCUCCUCUCAACCUCACUGUACGUGCAGAGGCUGAUGGGCUGCGUGGUCCCCGUAGUCCCUCUGUUACUCAGAGUUCCCUGUUUGCUCAGAGUGCCCAUUCCAGUCUGGCAGAUUUGCUUGAAGAGGCAUCGUCAGAUAGGUUUGACAGAACUGCACCAUAUUCUCUUCACGAAGAUCUUUGGGAUGUGCCAAGUUGUGAAAGUUAUGUUGAGAGCUGCGUGCCCAAGGCCCUGUGUUUGAGAAGCACAAAAGCAAAAGGGAAAAAUAUAGAAGGAAGUUCGUUUGGAACAGAAAGUGAUGAAACACCAGCAAGUGCUCUGGCAUGUAGGUUUCUAAAAGAGAGGAAGAAACGUAAGGUAAUGAGUAGCUUCACUUCAAGCUCUCCGCUACAAGAUGAGGGUGGCACAGUCCCCCAGCCCAGCGGGAGGAGCUCUGUGCUCUGUGCUGCAGUCUUCAGUCUACAAACUCAGGAUGGUUUCUGGAAACUUACACCAGAAUUAGGCCAAAUAUUAAACCUUAACACACAUGUUUUACAUGCCUUUCUUGAACAAAAAGGGAUUCGCUCUCUAGGUAUAAAAGGAAGAGAAUGUCUCUUGGACCUGAUUGCCACAUUGCUGGUACUACAGUUUCUUCGCACCAAGUUCCAACAAGACAUAAUAGUCUUCAAAUCCUUGAUGAAAUUGGAUGACCCUUCCCUUUCCAGGAAUAUUCCCUGGGACUUCGAGGCAAUAAAGAAAGCAAGUGAGUGGGUCAGAAGAAUGGAGGGACAAUAUCCAUCCAUCUGUCAACGGCUUGAGCUGGGUGAAAACUGGGACUUGGCCACUAAGCACCUCCUGGGAAUUCAGCCGCCAGCCAGCACUUCUCCUCUGCACAGAGUUCUGUAUUCUGAUCAAGCCUGAAUCCAAUGAAAUUAUAUUUUAAACUUUUCUCAUGCUUCUGUGUCCUAAACAUAAUCAAAUAUAACUAGGUACUUACAAUAGCAUUUAAUUGUGAUUUUAUUCAGUGCAGCAAUCAGUGCCUUUACUGUAAAGUAAAUGGAAACAAUUGACUCUUUUACUCAACUAAAAAAAUAAAUGAAGAUGACCAUAUUGGAGAUUUUGUAUUUCAGUGUUUUAAGGUGUGGGGAGAUAUCUGAUGGUCCUGGGCCUUAAUUACCUCUCAUUCCAGGAGUCUGGUGGUGAACUUACGGGCUGGGAAGAAGCCAGGCCUCUGGCUGGUGGUGGCCCAGGCCUUGGACAGCAAGUCUGUGGGCCACAGUGUGCCUUCUCCCGGCCGCGGUCCUCUGUCUGCAGACCCCUUGCUGCAUGGCUUGCUGCUUAAGAGAAAUGUGGUGUCCAGAGCAGGUCUUGAGUCAAUCUUGCUUUACUGUCACCAUCUAAAACUCAUUGCCAAACCCAAAGCCCUCUGUAUUUUUGCUCUCUUCUUGUUUUGUAGUUUCGCAUUUUAUGUUUUGGUGUAUGAUUUUCGGGGGGUGAGCAGGAUGGAGUCUCUCUGUGUUUUCCUGCUUUUGCCUCCCAAGAAGUGGGGAGCGGCCUAGCUGUGACUCAUUCUGAAUUGCAGUUUAUGAAAGGAAGAAGGUUGCUUCCAGCCUUCCUCCACUGCAGGCCAUUCCCAGAGGGCGGAGGCAGGGCGUUGUUCUUUCACCAUAGUUGCGCCAAAGGCCCGAAGGUUACGUGCUGGCCCCACCAGCAGGCACAGAGACACCAGCUGCGCAUAGCUGAGUUGCUCGUAUGGUACGCCCCAGCCAGCAUUUCUCCUACACCGGAAGGCUAGGAAAGUAUAGUUGUGGAAAGAUACUCCUGAGCUUGGUGUUUGGGGUGGGCGUUGCUCACUGGCCUUCUGUGUGG
Long non-coding RNA from Chinchilla lanigera (long-tailed chinchilla), 3175 nucleotides. NCBI's taxonomy places the organism in Eukaryota, Metazoa, Chordata, Mammalia, Rodentia, Chinchillidae. The record is from Ensembl.